CAGCCGCCGCGGGAAUACGUAGGUGGCAAGCGUUGUCCGGAAUUAUUGGGCGUAAAGGGCUCGCAGGCGGUUUCUUAAGUCUGAUGUGAAGGCCCCCGGCUCAACCGGGGAGGGUCAUUGGAAACUGGGAAACUUGAGUGCAGAAGAGGAGAGUGGAAUUCCACGUGUAGCGGUGAAAUGCGUAGAGAUGUGGAGGAACACCAGUGGCGAAGGCGACUCUCUGGUCUGUAACUGACGCUGAGGAGCGAAAGCGUGGGGAGCGAACAGGAUUAGAUACCCCUGUAGUCCCUGUCUCUUAUAC
This 301-nucleotide ribosomal RNA is filed under the name uncultured bacterium. Its description in RNAcentral is "partial 16S ribosomal RNA". It matches the Rfam family "Bacterial small subunit ribosomal RNA", at positions 509 to 807 of the family's 1533-position model. The record is from RNAcentral.